GAUGAACGCUGGCGGCGUGCCUAAUACAUGCAAGUCGAGCGAACGGACGAGAAGCUUGCUUCUCUGAUGUUAGCGGCGGACGGGUGAGUAACACGUGGAUAACCUACCUAUAAGACUGGGAUAACUUCGGGAAACCGGAGCUGAUACCGGAUAAUAUUUUGAACCGCAUGGUUCAAAAGUGAAAGACGGUCUUGCUGUCACUUAUAGAUGGAUCCGCGCUGCAUUAGCUAGUUGGUAAGGUAACGGCUUACCAAGGCAACGAUGCAUAGCCGACCUGAGAGGGUGAUCGGCCACACUGGAACUGAGACACGGUCCAGACUCCUACGGGAGGCAGCAGUAGGGAAUCUUGCGCAAUGGGCGAAAGCCUGACGGAGCAACGCCGCGUGAGUGAUGAAGGUCUUCGGAUCGUAAAACUCUGUUAUUAGGGAAGAACAUAUGUGUAAGUAACUGUGCACAUCUUGACGGUACCUAAUCAGAAAGCCACGGCUAACUACGUG
This 497-nucleotide ribosomal RNA is filed under the name uncultured bacterium. RNAcentral describes it as "partial 16S ribosomal RNA". It matches the Rfam family "Bacterial small subunit ribosomal RNA", at positions 28 to 507 of the family's 1533-position model. The record is from RNAcentral.